This 253-nucleotide ribosomal RNA is filed under the name uncultured bacterium. RNAcentral describes it as "partial 16S ribosomal RNA". It matches the Rfam family "Bacterial small subunit ribosomal RNA", at positions 524 to 776 of the family's 1533-position model. The record is from RNAcentral.
UACAGAGGGUGCGAGCGUUAAUCGGAAUUACUGGGCGUAAAGCGUGCGUAGACGGUUAUUUAAGUCGGGUGUGAAAGCCCCGGGCUCAACCUGGGAAUUGCAUUCGAGACUGAAUAGCUAGGGUACGGUAGAGGGAAGCGGAAUUUCCGGUGUAGCGGUGAAAUGCGUAGAGAUGUGGAGGAACACCGAUGGCGAAGGCAGCCUCCUGGGCCAACACUGACGCUCAUGCACGAAAGCGUGGGGAGCAAACAGG